This 68-nucleotide small nuclear RNA is filed under the name Theropithecus gelada (gelada). RNAcentral's name for it is "U1 spliceosomal RNA (ENSTGEG00000025910.1)". Lineage: Eukaryota; Metazoa; Chordata; Mammalia; Primates; Cercopithecidae. The record is from RNAcentral.
GGGUGAGGCUUAUCCAUUGCAUACCUGAUGUGCUGACCCCUGCGAUUUCCCCAAAUGUGGGAAAGUUG